GAGACGAAAAUUAGAAAUCGGGAGAGAGAGAAAUGAACGGCAGAGACGAAGAAAAGGGUUUGGUAUGGAAGCUACCGAUAGUUAAGUCGAAGCAAUUUGGGAAGAUUGGACCUGCUUUUGGACUUGGCAUAGGCUGUGGUUUUGGUCUCGGAAUCGGCCUUAUCGGAGGCACUGGCUUUGGUCCGGGGCUUCCUGGGUUGGAACUGGGUUUUGGGUUCGGUGCUGGGUGUGGAAUUGGUCUUGGUUUUGGCUAUGCUGUUGGAAGAGGAAUUGCUUAUGACGACAACCGUAAAUACUCUAAUGUUGGAAAGCUCUUCAACAGCCAUGCCAAUUUCCCCAAUCAACUUGACCUAAUGUUGACCUUGUCAUCAAGUGGAAUGUUUCUGUUGGCUAUACAAGUUGAUCACUGGGGAAAAUUUCCUUUUAAUUCUGCAUAGAAAGCAGAACGUGUUCAUCGUGAUGCGCCUGCAAUAUUUUCAGUGAGGCAGAAGUUGCGCAAUUCCAAACAAAAGAAGGCUGAGAAGAGGGACACAAACAAACUGGGAUGAGGUAGGGGAACUCAUCGAUGAGCUUGUUGUGAACACCAAAAAGCUAAUCAAAGCAACUACACAAGAGUUGGACAAGUGGAGAAGGUCCUAAUUUGUGCCGUUCCCUUUUGUACACAGCUCACUCCUUGUAAUGUACAUGCUAAUUCUUAAGUAGCUUAGCUCCUUGGAGCGAA
This is a non-coding RNA of Nicotiana tabacum (common tobacco), 721 nucleotides long. Lineage: Eukaryota; Viridiplantae; Streptophyta; Magnoliopsida; Solanales; Solanaceae. The record is from RefSeq and is a predicted model, not a curated record.